UUAUAUGGAGAGUUUGAUCCUGGCUCAGGACGAACGCUGGCGGCGUGCCUAAUACAUGCAAGUCGAGCGGACGGAUGGGAGCUUGCUCCCAGACCGUCAGCGGCGGACGGGUGAGUAACACGUGGGCAACCUGCCUGUAAGACUGGGAUAACUCCGGGAAACCGGGGCUAAUACCGGAUAACUCUUUCCCUCACAUGAGGGAAAGCUGAAAGAUGGCAUCUCGCUAUCACUUACAGAUGGGCCCGCGGCGCAUUAGCUAGUUGGU
This 265-nucleotide ribosomal RNA is filed under the name Cytobacillus firmus. Its description in RNAcentral is "partial 16S ribosomal RNA". It matches the Rfam family "Bacterial small subunit ribosomal RNA", at positions 1 to 253 of the family's 1533-position model. Lineage: Bacteria; Bacillati; Bacillota; Bacilli; Caryophanales; Bacillaceae. The record is from RNAcentral.